Molecule: ribosomal RNA, 435 nt
Filed under: uncultured bacterium
Lineage: Bacteria
Description: partial 16S ribosomal RNA
Rfam family: Bacterial small subunit ribosomal RNA
Source: RNAcentral
GAUGAACGCUGGCGGUAUGCUUAACACAUGCAAGUCGAACGGACUCUUCGGAGUUAGUGGCGGACGGGUGAGUAACGCGUGAGAAUCUGGCUUUGGGUUCGGGACAACCACUGGAAACGGUGGCUAAUACCGGAUGUGCCGAGAGGUAAAAGAGAAAUUGCCUGAAGAUGAGCUCGCGUCUGAUUAGCUAGUUGGUGAGGUAAAGGCUCACCAAGGCAGCGAUCAGUAGCUGGUCGGAGAGGAUGACCAGCCACACUGGGACUGAGACACGGCCCAGACUCCUACGGGAGGCAGCAGUGGGGAAUUUUCCGCAAUGGGCGAAAGCCUGACGGAGCAAUACCGCGUGAGGGAAGAAGGCUCUUGGGUUGUAAACCUCUUUUCUUAGGGAAGAACAAAAUGACGGUACCUAAGGAAUCAGCAUCGGCUAACUCCGUG